UGCCAGCAGCCGCGGUAAUACGGAGGGGGUUAGCGUUGUUCGGAAUUACUGGGCGUAAAGCGCACGUAGGCGGAUUAGUAAGUUAGGGGUGAAAUCCCGGGGCUCAACCUGGGAUGGUCAUUUAGAACUGGCAGACUAGAGUCUUGGAGAGGUGAGUGGAAUUCCGAGUGUAGAGGUGAAAUUCGUAGAUAUUCGGAGGAACACCAGUGGCGAAGACGGCUCACUGGCUCGAUACUGACGCUGAGGUGCGAAAGCGUAGGGAGCAAACAGGAUUAGAUA
Molecule: ribosomal RNA, 279 nt
Filed under: uncultured bacterium
Lineage: Bacteria
Description: partial 16S ribosomal RNA
Rfam family: Bacterial small subunit ribosomal RNA
Source: RNAcentral